UAGAGUUUGAUCCUGGCUCAGGAUGAACGCUAGCUACAGGCUUAACACAUGCAAGUCGAGGGGCAUCAUGAUCUAGCAAUAGAUUGAUGGCGACCGGCGCACGGGUGAGUAACACGUAUCCAACCUUCCAUUAACUCGGGGAUAGCCUUUCGAAAGAAAGAUUAAUACCCGAUAGUAUAGCAUUUCCUCCUGGUUUUGCUAUUAAAGAAUUUCGGUUAUUGAUGGGGAUGCGUUCCAUUAGUUUGUUGGCGGGGUAACGGCCCACCAAGACUUCGAUGGAUAGGGGUUCUGAGAGGAAGGUCCCCCACAUUGGAACUGAGACACGGUCCAAACUCCUACGGGAGGCAGCAGUGAGGAAUAUUGGUCAAUGGACGGGAGUCUGAACCAGCCAAGUAGCGUGAAGGAUGAAGGCUCUAUGGGUCGUAAACUUCUUUUAUAAGGGAAUAAAGUGAGUCUCGUGAGACUUUUUGCAUGUACCUUAUGAAUAAGGACCGGCUAAUUCCGUGCCAGCAGCCGCGGUAAUACGGAAGGUCCGGGCGUUAUCCGGAUUUAUUGGGUUUAAAGGGAGCGUAGGCCGGAGAUUAAGCGUGUUGUGAAAUGUAGGCGCUCAACGUCUGCACUGCAGCGCGAACUGGUUUCCUUGAGUACGCACAAAGUGGGCGGAAUUCGUGGUGUAGCGGUGAAAUGCUUAGAUAUCACGAAGAACUCCGAUUGCGAAGGCAGCUCACUGGAGCGCAACUGACGCUGAAGCUCCGAAAGUGCGGGGUACCGAACAGGAUUAGAUACCCCUGUUAGUCCCGCACGGGAAA
This 809-nucleotide ribosomal RNA is filed under the name uncultured bacterium. RNAcentral's name for it is "bacterial SSU rRNA". It matches the Rfam family "Bacterial small subunit ribosomal RNA", at positions 1 to 806 of the family's 1533-position model. The record is from RNAcentral.